ACCAGGAUGGCCGAGUGGUUAAGGCGUUGGACUUAAGUUCAAAUGUACGGAUGUACGCGUGGGUUCGAACCCCACUCCUGGUA
Nematostella vectensis (starlet sea anemone) is the source of this 83-nucleotide non-coding RNA. Lineage: Eukaryota; Metazoa; Cnidaria; Anthozoa; Actiniaria; Edwardsiidae. The record is from Rfam.